This 442-nucleotide long non-coding RNA is filed under the name Vigna radiata. RNAcentral's name for it is "long non-coding RNA (VRAD_LNC015335)". The record is from RNAcentral. Lineage: Eukaryota; Viridiplantae; Streptophyta; Magnoliopsida; Fabales; Fabaceae.
UUUAAACGAAAUAUCAUUAUAUUCAUCAUUCAUAUUCAUCAUUCAUGCACAGCACCAUAGAUAUCAUACAUUAAAACAUCCAAACCAAACAAGCAGAAUAAGCUCCCCUUACCUGGGAUUCCUGAAAACGUUACAAACUUCAAAGAUGUUCCUUCCUCACGUCCUCUUCCUUUAUUACGUACGAAUAGCCAAACCAAUAAUCCUUCCCUCUCUUUUCAAAACACUCAAAGUACGUAUGAAGGUAAGUUCUAGGGUUUUUCUUUUUCCUUUUACGAGACUAACAGAUUGUAUCUCUUAACUAUAACCUAAUACCCUUUAAAUACUCCUCACAACUCUCACAAUUGGGCCCUGAUGAUUGGACUAUAAACCCAUUUUUUAAUUCUAACUAAAAAAAACUUAUCAUACAAGAAAAUAAUAUUACGUUAGUAAGAACCCAAAUAAC